This 264-nucleotide ribosomal RNA is filed under the name uncultured bacterium. RNAcentral's name for it is "partial 16S rRNA". It matches the Rfam family "Bacterial small subunit ribosomal RNA", at positions 355 to 616 of the family's 1533-position model. The record is from RNAcentral.
UGAGGAAUAUUGGUCAAUGGGCGCAAGCCUGAACCAGCCAUGCCGCGUGCAGGAAGACGGUCCUAUGGAUUGUAAACUGCUUUUAUUCGGGGAUAAACCUCCUUACGUGUAGGGAGCUGAAGGUACCGAAAGAAUAAGCACCGGCUAACUCCGUGCCAGCAGCCGCGGUAAUACGGAGGGUGCAAGCGUUAUCCGGAAUCAUUGGGUUUAAAGGGUCCGCAGGCGGGAUUGUAAGUCAGUGGUGAAAAGCGGCAGCUCAACUGU